RNAcentral lists this ribosomal RNA (480 nucleotides) under uncultured bacterium. RNAcentral describes it as "partial 16S ribosomal RNA". It matches the Rfam family "Bacterial small subunit ribosomal RNA", at positions 28 to 507 of the family's 1533-position model. The record is from RNAcentral.
GACGAACGCUGGCGGCGCGCUUAACACAUGCAAGUCGAGCGAUGAAACUUUAACAGUACCCUUCGGGCCGAAGAUACAGUGGAUUAGCGGCGGCCGGGUGAGUAACACGUGAGUAACCUGCCUUAUACAUUGGACUAGCCCCGGGAAACCGGGAUUAAUACCAAAUAAAAUCAUAAUGACACAUGUCAUAACUACUAAAACUCCGAUGGGCUAAGAUGGACGUGCGUCGCAUUAGCUAGUUGGUAGAGUAAAAGCCUACCAAGGCGUCGAUGGCUAGCCGGGAUGAGAGAGUGAACCCAGACAUUGGAGGGGAGAAGCAGUAGGAAAUCCUACGCAAGGGAGGAGUGGCGGAUAUUGCACAAUGGCGGGAGCUAUGAUGCAGCGCCGACGGGUAAACGCAGAAAGCAGUGAAGAACUAAAGUUCUAGUAUAUAGGAAGGUAAUGACGGUACCAAAAGAGAAAGCCCCGGCUAACUACGUG